GACGAACGCUGGCGGCGUGCCUAAUACAUGCAAGUUGAGCGCUGAAGGUUGGUACUUGUACCAACUGGAUGAGCAGCGAACGGGUGAGUAACGCGUGGGGAAUCUGCCUUUGAGCGGGGGACAACAUUUGGAAACGAAUGCUAAUACCGCAUAAAAACUUUAAACACAAGUUUUAAGUUUGAAAGAUGCAAUUGCAUCACUCAAAGAUGAUCCCGCGUUGUAUUAGCUAGUUGGUGAGGUAAAGGCUCACCAAGGCGAUGAUACAUAGCCGACCUGAGAGGGUGAUCGGCCACAUUGGGACUGAGACACGGCCCAAACUCCUGCGGGAGGCAGCAGUAGGGAAUCUUCGGCAAUGGACGAAAGUCUGACCGAGCAACGCCGCGUGAGUGGAGAAGGGUUUCGGAUCGUAAAACUCUGUUGGUAGAGAAGAACGUUGGUGAGAGUGGAAAGCUCAUCAAGUGACGGUAACUACCCAGAAAGGGACGGCUAACUACGUG
This 497-nucleotide ribosomal RNA is filed under the name uncultured bacterium. Its description in RNAcentral is "partial 16S ribosomal RNA". It matches the Rfam family "Bacterial small subunit ribosomal RNA", at positions 28 to 507 of the family's 1533-position model. The record is from RNAcentral.